GUACCCUGGUAGUCCAUGCCGUAAACGAUGUGUACUAGCCGUUGGGGCCUUUGAGGCUUUAGUGGCGCAGCUAACGCGAUAAGUAGACCGCCUGGGGAGUACGGUCGCAAGAUUAAAAUUCAAAUGAAUUGACGGGGGCCCGCACAAGCGGUGGAGCAUGUGGUUUAAUUGGAUGCAACGCGAAGAACCUUACCUGGCCUUGACAUAGUAGAAACUUUCCAGAGAUGGAUUGGUGCCUUCGGGAAUCUACAUACAGGUGCUGCAUGGCGGUCGUCAGCUCGUGUCGUGAGAUGUUGGGUUAAGUCCCGCAACGAGCGCAACCCUUUUCCUUACUUGCCAGCAUUUCGGAUGGGAACUUUAAGGAUACUGCCAGUGACAAACUGGAGGAAGGCGGGGACGACGUCAAGUCAUCAUGGCCCUUACGGCCAGGGCUACACACGUGCUACAAUGGUCGGUACAAAGGGUUGCUACCUAGCGAUAGGAUGCUAAUCUCAAAAAGCCGAUCGUAGUCCGGAUUGGAGUCUGCAACUCGACUCCAUGAAGUCGGAAUCGCUAGUAAUCGCGGAUCAGAAUGCCGCGGUGAAUACGUUCCCGGGCCUUGUACACACCGCCCGUCACACCAUGGGAGUUUGUUGCACCAGAAGUAGCUAGCCUAACUGCAAAGA
RNAcentral lists this ribosomal RNA (665 nucleotides) under bacterium LB-125. Its description in RNAcentral is "bacterial SSU rRNA". It matches the Rfam family "Bacterial small subunit ribosomal RNA", at positions 782 to 1447 of the family's 1533-position model. The record is from RNAcentral.